Molecule: ribosomal RNA, 253 nt
Filed under: uncultured bacterium
Lineage: Bacteria
Description: partial 16S ribosomal RNA
Rfam family: Bacterial small subunit ribosomal RNA
Source: RNAcentral
UACGUAGGGUGCAAGCGUUGUCCGGAAUUAUUGGGCGUAAAGAGCUCGUAGGCGGUUUGUCGCGUCUGCUGUGAAAAUCCAGGGCUUAACCCUGGACCUGCAGUGGGUACGGGCAGACUGGAGUGCGGUAGGGGAGAUCGGAAUUCCUGGUGUAGCGGUGAAAUGCGCAGAUAUCAGGAGGAACACCGGUGGCGAAGGCGGAUCUCUGGGCCGUAACUGACGCUGAGACGCGAAAGCGUGGGGAGCGAACAGG